CAGUAGCCGCGGUAAUACGUAGGGUGCAAGCGUUAAUCGGAAUUACUGGGCGUAAAGCGUGCGCAGGCGGUUUGUUAAGACAGAUGUGAAAUCCCCGGGCUCAACCUGGGAACUGCAUUUGUGACUGGCAAGCUAGAGUGUGGCAGAGGGGGGUGGAAUUCCGCGUGUAGCAGUGAAAUGCGUAGAUACGCGGAGGAACACCGAUGGCGAAGGCAGCCCCCUGGGCCAACACUGACGCUCAUGCACGAAAGCGUGGGGAGCAAACAGGAUUAGAUACCCGAGUAGUCCCUGUCUCUUAUAC
This 301-nucleotide ribosomal RNA is filed under the name uncultured bacterium. RNAcentral's name for it is "partial 16S ribosomal RNA". It matches the Rfam family "Bacterial small subunit ribosomal RNA", at positions 509 to 807 of the family's 1533-position model. The record is from RNAcentral.